RNAcentral lists this ribosomal RNA (253 nucleotides) under uncultured bacterium. RNAcentral describes it as "partial 16S ribosomal RNA". It matches the Rfam family "Bacterial small subunit ribosomal RNA", at positions 524 to 776 of the family's 1533-position model. The record is from RNAcentral.
GACGAACCGUGCGAACGUUGUUCGGAAUCACUGGGCUUAAAGGGCGCGUAGGCGGGCUUGCAAGUCUGCGGUGAAAGCCUCCAGCUUAACUGGAGAAGUGCCGUGGAUACUGCGAGCCUCGAGGAGGGUAGGGGCGUCUGGAACGUUGGGUGGAGCGGUGAAAUGCGUUGAUAUCCAACGGAACUCCGGUGGCGAAGGCGAGGCGCUGGACCCUUUCUGACGCUGAGGCGCGAAAGCCAGGGGAGCAAACGGG